ACCUGGGUGGCUCAGUCGGCUGAGCGUCUGACUUCAGCUCAGGUCAUGAUGUCGUGGCUUGUGGGUUCAAGCCCCGCAUUGGGCU
This 85-nucleotide transfer RNA is filed under the name Felis catus (domestic cat). It matches the Rfam family "tRNA". Rfam says of the family: Transfer RNA (tRNA) molecules are approximately 80 nucleotides in length. Their secondary structure includes four short double-helical elements and three loops (D, anti-codon, and T loops). Further hydrogen bonds mediate the characteristic L-shaped molecular structure. tRNAs have two regions of fundamental functional importance: the anti-codon, which is responsible for specific mRNA codon recognition, and the 3' end, to which the tRNAs corresponding amino acid is attached (by aminoacyl-tRNA synthetases). tRNAs cope with the degeneracy of the genetic code in two manners: having more than one tRNA (with a specific anti-codon) for a particular amino acid; and 'wobble' base-pairing, i.e. permitting non-standard base-pairing at the 3rd anti-codon position. Lineage: Eukaryota; Metazoa; Chordata; Mammalia; Carnivora; Felidae. RNAcentral also lists the same sequence under 3 other names. The record is from Rfam by way of RNAcentral.